Molecule: ribosomal RNA, 589 nt
Filed under: uncultured fungus
Lineage: Eukaryota; Fungi
Description: eukaryotic LSU rRNA
Rfam family: Eukaryotic large subunit ribosomal RNA
Source: RNAcentral
GGAUUCCCCUAGUAACUGCGAGUGAAGAGGGAAAAGCUCAAAUUUAAAAUCUGGCAGCUUCGCUGUCCGAGUUGUAAUUUAGAGAAGUGUUACCCGCGCUGGACCGUGUAUAAGUCUCCCGGAAUGGAGCGUCAUAGAGGGUGAGAAUCCCGUCUUUGACACGGACUACCAGGGCAUUGUGGUGCGCUCUCGAAGAGUCGAGUUGUUUGGGAAUGCAGCUCUAAAUGGGUGGUAAAUUCCAUCUAAAGCUAAAUAUUGGCGAGAGACCGAUAGCGAACAAGUACCGUGAGGGAAAGAUGAAAAGAACUUUGGAAAGAGAGUUAAACAGUACGUGAAAUUGCUGAAAGGGAAACGCUUGAAGUCAGUCGCGUUGGCCGGGGAUCAGCCUUGCUUUUGUGAGGUGUACUUCCUGGUCGACGGGUCAGCAUCAGUUUCGACCACUGGAGAAAGGCUUGGGGAAUGUGGCACCUUCGGGUGUGUUAUAGCCCCUUGUUGUAUACAGUGGUUGGGACUGAGGAACUCAGCACGCCGCAAGGCCGGGUUUCGACCACGUUCGUGCUUAGGAUGCUGGCAAAAUGGCUUUAAGCGA